Molecule: ribosomal RNA, 1764 nt
Filed under: Escherichia coli
Lineage: Bacteria; Pseudomonadati; Pseudomonadota; Gammaproteobacteria; Enterobacterales; Enterobacteriaceae
Description: partial 23S ribosomal RNA
Rfam family: Bacterial large subunit ribosomal RNA
Source: RNAcentral
CGGGACACGUGGUAUCCUGUCUGAAUAUGGGGGGACCAUCCUCCAAGGCUAAAUACUCCUGACUGACCGAUAGUGAACCAGUACCGUGAGGGAAAGGCGAAAAGAACCCCGGCGAGGGGAGUGAAAAAGAACCUGAAACCGUGUACGUACAAGCAGUGGGAGCCUCUUAAUGGGGUGACUGCGUACCUUUUGUAUAAUGGGUCAGCGACUUAUAUUCUGUAGCAAGGUUAACCGAAUAGGGGAGCCGAAGGGAAACCGAGUCUUAACUGGGCGUUAAGUUGCAGGGUAUAGACCCGAAACCCGGUGAUCUAGCCAUGGGCAGGUUGAAGGUUGGGUAACACUAACUGGAGGACCGAACCGACUAAUGUUGAAAAAUUAGCGGAUGACUUGUGGCUGGGGGUGAAAGGCCAAUCAAACCGGGAGAUAGCUGGUUCUCCCCGAAAGCUAUUUAGGUAGCGCCUCGUGAAUUCAUCUCCGGGGGUAGAGCACUGUUUCGGCAAGGGGGUCAUCCCGACUUACCAACCCGAUGCAAACUGCGAAUACCGGAGAAUGUUAUCACGGGAGACACACGGCGGGUGCUAACGUCCGUCGUGAAGAGGGAAACAACCCAGACCGCCAGCUAAGGUCCCAAAGUCAUGGUUAAGUGGGAAACGAUGUGGGAAGGCCCAGACAGCCAGGAUGUUGGCUUAGAAGCAGCCAUCAUUUAAAGAAAGCGUAAUAGCUCACUGGUCGAGUCGGCCUGCGCGGAAGAUGUAACGGGGCUAAACCAUGCACCGAAGCUGCGGCAGCGACACUAUGUGUUGUUGGGUAGGGGAGCGUUCUGUAAGCCUGUGAAGGUGUGCUGUGAGGCAUGCUGGAGGUAUCAGAAGUGCGAAUGCUGACAUAAGUAACGAUAAAGCGGGUGAAAAGCCCGCUCGCCGGAAGACCAAGGGUUCCUGUCCAACGUUAAUCGGGGCAGGGUGAGUCGACCCCUAAGGCGAGGCCGAAAGGCGUAGUCGAUGGGAAACAGGUUAAUAUUCCUGUACUUGGUGUUACUGCGAAGGGGGGACGGAGAAGGCUAUGUUGGCCGGGCGACGGUUGUCCCGGUUUAAGCGUGUAGGCUGGUUUUCCAGGCAAAUCCGGAAAACCAAGGCUGAGGCGUGAUGACGAGGCACUACGGUGCUGAAGUGACAAAUGCCCUGCUUCCAGGAAAAGCCUCUAAGCAUCAGGUAACAUUAAAUCGUACCCCAAACCGACACAGGUGGUCAGGUAGAGAAUACCAAGGCGCUUGAGAGAACUCGGGUGAAGGAACUAGGCAAAAUGGUGCCGUAACUUCGGGAGAAGGCACGCUGAUAUGUAGGUGAAGCGACUUGCUCGUGGAGCUGAAAUCAGUCGAAGAUACCAGCUGGCUGCAACUGUUUAUUAAAAACACAGCACUGUGCAAACACGAAAGUGGACGUAUACGGUGUGACGCCUGCCCGGUGCCGGAAGGUUAAUUGAUGGGGUUAGCGGUAACGCGAAGCUCUUGAUCGAAGCCCCGGUAAACGGCGGCCGUAACUAUAACGGUCCUAAGGUAGCGAAAUUCCUUGUCGGGUAAGUUCCGACCUGCACGAAUGGCGUAAUGAUGGCCAGGCUGUCUCCACCCGAGACUCAGUGAAAUUGAACUCGCUGUGAAGAUGCAGUGUACCCGCGGCAAGACGGAAAGACCCCGUGAACCUUUACUAUAGCUUGACACUGAACAUUGAGCCUUGAUGUGUAGGAUAGGUGGGAGGCUUUGAAGUGUGG